GAACUUUGAUCAUCAAUCUUUCAAUAAGAACUCAAGCCAUCAUAGAAAGGGCUCAUCUUUGGACAGCAUCAUGUCUGAUGUUCUCCGUGCCUCACUAGAUGAAAUUGCACUCUCUGCUGAAUCAAUCGGGAAAUCUAGCAAUACCAUUGCUCUGGUACCUCCUCCUCCUGGAAGGGUUGAUAGCAUGCUUCCUUUGAAGCCUCCUCCUGGAAGGGUUGAUAGCAUGCUUCCUUUGAAGCCUCCUCCUGGAAGGGUUGAUAGUAUGCUCCCUUUGAAGCCUCCCCAUGGAAGGGCAGUCCCCCUUCCUCCUGAACCACCUGCUUCUCUCAGGCCUCUUCCCAGCAAGGCUGGUCCCCCUCCCCCUCCUCCACCACCUCAUGCACCGCCGUCUCCUCCUGCAAGAGCUUCAGGCAGUGUG
RNAcentral lists this unclassified non-coding RNA (418 nucleotides) under Hevea brasiliensis (rubber tree). Lineage: Eukaryota; Viridiplantae; Streptophyta; Magnoliopsida; Malpighiales; Euphorbiaceae. The record is from RNAcentral.